AUUGAACGCUGGCGGAAUGCUUUACACAUGCAAGUCGAACGGCAGCACGGACUUCGGUCUGGUGGCGAGUGGCGAACGGGUGAGUAAUACCUCGGAACGUGCCCAAUCGUGGGGGAUAACGUAGCGAAAGCUACGCUAAUACCGCAUACGAUCUAAGGAUGACAGCGGGGGAUCGCAAGACCUCGCGCGAUUGGAGCGGCUGAUGGCGGAUUAGGUAGGUGGUAGGGUAAAGGCCUACCAAGCCGACGAUCUGUAGCUGGUCUGAGAGGAUGAUAAGCCACACUGGGAGUGAGACACUGCCCAGAUUCGUACGAGAGUCAGAAGUGUGGAAUUGUAGAGUAUGGAGGAGAGUUUGAGCAAGCCAUUCCGUGUGCAGCAUUAAGGUCCUCGGGUUGUAAACCGGUUUUGUCCAGAGCGAAAGGGCUCUGGUUAAUACCUAGGGCUCAUUACGGUAAUGUAAGAAGAAGCACCGGCUAACUACGUUUCAUCCGCCGCGGUAA
RNAcentral lists this ribosomal RNA (500 nucleotides) under uncultured bacterium. RNAcentral describes it as "partial 16S ribosomal RNA". It matches the Rfam family "Bacterial small subunit ribosomal RNA", at positions 30 to 523 of the family's 1533-position model. The record is from RNAcentral.